Molecule: non-coding RNA, 381 nt
Organism: Nannospalax galili (Upper Galilee mountains blind mole rat)
Lineage: Eukaryota; Metazoa; Chordata; Mammalia; Rodentia; Spalacidae
Source: the annotation of a RefSeq genome assembly
AUGGACAGGCUUCCUUCCUUCCUCCUGCUGCUGACCAUCCCUCCAUGUGUGCUGUCACAGAUCACCCUGAAGGAGUCUGGUCCUGGGCUGCUGCAGCCAUUUCAGUCUCUCAAGCUCACCUGUUCCUUCUCUGGAUUUUCUCUGAGCACUUCUGGAAUAGGUGUGGGCUGGAUCCGUCAGCCCCCAGGGAAGGCUCUGGAAUGGUUGGCACACAUUUGGUGGGAUGAUGAUAAGAAUUACAGCCCAUCACUGAAGAGCCGACUCACAAUUUCCAAGGACACCUCCAAAAACCAGGUGUUCCUCACCUUGACCAGUGUGAACCCUGAGGAUACUGCCACAUACUACUGUGCUCGGAGGGCACAGAGAUACAGCCUUGGGUGA